RNAcentral lists this ribosomal RNA (893 nucleotides) under uncultured bacterium. RNAcentral describes it as "bacterial SSU rRNA". It matches the Rfam family "Bacterial small subunit ribosomal RNA", at positions 504 to 1402 of the family's 1533-position model. The record is from RNAcentral.
UGUUUCAGCAGCCGCGGUAAUGCGUAGGGUGCAAGCGUUAAUCGGAAUUACUGGGCGUAAAGCGUGCGCAGGCGGUUAUGCAAGACAGAGGUGAAAUCCCCGGGCUCAACCUGGGAACUGCCUUUGUGACUGCAUGGCUAGAGUACGGUAGAGGGGGAUGGAAUUCCGCGUGUAGCAGUGAAAUGCGUAGAUAUGCGGAGGAACACCGAUGGCGAAGGCAAUCCCCUGGACCUGUACUGACGCUCAUGCACGAAAGCGUGGGAAGCAAACAGGAUUAGAUACCCUGGUAGUCCACGCCCUAAACGAUGUCAACUGGUUGUUGGGAGGGUUUCUUCUCAGUAACGUAGCUAACGCGUGAAGUUGACCGCCUGGGGAGUACGGCCGCAAGGUUGAAACUCAAAGGAAUUGACGGGGACCCGCACAAGCGGUGGAUGAUGUGGUUUAAUUCGAUGCAACGCGAAAAACCUUACCUACCCUUGACAUGCCAGGAAUCCUGAAGAGAUUUGGGAGUGCUCGAAAGAGAGCCUGGACACAGGUGCUGCAUGGCCGUCGUCAGCUCGUGUCGUGAGAUGUUGGGUUAAGUCCCGCAACGAGCGCAACCCUUGUCAUUAGUUGCUACGAAAGGGCACUCUAAUGAGACUGCCGGUGACAAACCGGAGGAAGGUGGGGAUGACGUCAGGUCAUCAUGGCCCUUAUGGGUAGGGCUACACACGUCAUACAAUGGCCGGGACAGAGGGCUGCCAACCCGCGAGGGGGAGCUAAUCCCAGAAACCCGGUCGUAGUCCGGAUCGUAGUCUGCAACUCGACUGCGUGAAGUCGGAAUCGCUAGUAAUCGCGGAUCAGCUUGCCGCGGUGAAUACGUUCCCGGGUCUUGUACACACCGCCCGUCAAAC